This 252-nucleotide ribosomal RNA is filed under the name uncultured bacterium. Its description in RNAcentral is "partial 16S ribosomal RNA". It matches the Rfam family "Bacterial small subunit ribosomal RNA", at positions 524 to 776 of the family's 1533-position model. The record is from RNAcentral.
UACGUAGGUCCCGAGCGUUAUCCGGAUUUAUUGGGCGUAAAGCGAGCGCAGGCGGUUAGAUAAGUCUGAAGUGAAAGGCUGUGGCUUAACCAUAGUAUGCUUUGGAAACUGUUUAACUUGAGUGCAGAAGGGGAGAGUGGAAUUCCAUGUGUAGCGGUGAAAUGCGUAGAUAUAUGGAGGAACACCGGUGGCGAAAGCGGCUCUCUGGUCUGUAACUGACGCUGAGGCUCUAAUGCGUCGGCAGCAACCAUG